AACGCACCUUGCGCUCCUCGGUGUUCCGAGGAGCAUGCCUGUUUGAGUGUCAGUAAAUUCUCAACCCCUCUCGAUUUGCUUCGAGAGGGCGCUUGGAUGGUGGAGGCUGCCGGAGACCUGGAUUCGUUCAGGACUCGGGCUCCUCUGAAAUGAAUCGGCUUGCGGUCGACCUUCGACUUUGCAUGACAAGGCCUUUGGCGUGAUAAUGAUCGCCGUUCGCCGAAGUGCACGACAGAAAACGGUCCCGCGCCUCUAAUGCGUCGACGCCUUCCGGGCGUCUUCCUCAUUGACGUUUGACCUCAAAUCAGGUAGGACUACCCGCUGAACUUAA
Molecule: unclassified non-coding RNA, 331 nt
Filed under: Suillus sp.
Lineage: Eukaryota; Fungi; Basidiomycota; Agaricomycetes; Boletales; Suillaceae
Also listed under: 2 other names
Description: partial contains 5.8S ribosomal RNA, internal transcribed spacer 2, and large subunit ribosomal RNA
Rfam family: 5.8S ribosomal RNA (bases 1-52)
Source: RNAcentral